UGGGGGGGCAGAGGAGGCGUCUGCUGAGUUCACGGCCCUGCUGCUGCUGAUGAUGAGGAGAGGCACUGCCAGAUUGUGGCUGAUGGGAUGAGUUACAUUUAGUUGUUUGUGUCUCUGGAGGGGCGGAUUUGUUGUCGUGGCAGAAAUGGCCUCGACUAGAGGCCGCGAUGUGGAGUGUUUGGUCUACUCUUCCACGCUGGGCGUGCCCGCACUUUACCCCGAUACACACGCGGGGCGUGAGCUCACUGGGCUUGCAAUGCAGAGGUGCAGCACAACAACAAGAAGCAGGAGGAGGAUGGUUUGUCUCCCAAGCCGAGCACUUCCGGGUCCACCUUCAUGAUCCUCCCUCUGCCCCGGGGGUGGGGGCGGGGAGAUCCCCUCGCACAGGGUUACGCUGCUACUUCCGUUGAGGCCGGGGCGAGUGGAGGCGGCGCUGUGCAUUGUGGGUGGCGAGAGGCUGAUUUGGAUUCCCGCUCACGGCCACCGUCGGUGGCUCGUGGCGGCUCGCUGGCUGGGCCUCCUCUACGUCGACUCAGCCAGAAGAAGGUCGUGGGUUCGAUCCCUACCCUCACACCUGUAUAUUUCGAGUUUGCAUGUCUCUCUCUCUCCCCGUGGUCGCGUUCAGAGUGUUUGGUUUCUAUAAAUGUCGUCGUGAUGAUAGGCCACUUCGUUGACCUAUCAUUUGUGGCAUUUUCCCUUCUGAAGAAGAGCUGUGUCGCUCGAUGGGCAUUACCUGGAAAAAUUGAAAUA
This is a long non-coding RNA of Lethenteron reissneri (Far Eastern brook lamprey), 750 nucleotides long. RefSeq lists it as uncharacterized. The record is from RefSeq and is a predicted model, not a curated record. Lineage: Eukaryota; Metazoa; Chordata; Hyperoartia; Petromyzontiformes; Petromyzontidae.